UACGGAGGAUGCAAGCGUUAUCCGGAAUGAUUGGGCGUAAAGGGUCCGCAGGUGGCACUGUAAGUCUGCUGUUAAAGAGUGAGGCUUAACCUCAUAAGAGCAGUGGAAACUACAGAGCUAGAGUGCGUUCGGGGUAGCAGGAAUUCCUGGUGUAGCGGUGAAAUGCGUAGAGAUCAGGAAGAACACCGGUGGCGAAAGCGUGCUACUAGGCCGUAACUGACGCUGAGGGACGAAAGCUAGGGGAGCGAAUGGG
This 253-nucleotide ribosomal RNA is filed under the name uncultured bacterium. RNAcentral describes it as "partial 16S ribosomal RNA". It matches the Rfam family "Bacterial small subunit ribosomal RNA", at positions 524 to 776 of the family's 1533-position model. The record is from RNAcentral.